AAUAGCGGAGGAAAAGAAACCAACAGGGAUUGCCCUAGUAACGGCGAGUGAAGCGGCAACAGCUCAAAUUUGAAAGCUAGCCUUCGGGUUCGCAUUGUAAUUUGUAGAGGAUGAUUUGGGGAAGCCGCCUGUCUAAGUUCCUUGGAACAGGACGUCAUAGAGGGUGAGAAUCCCGUAUGUGACAGGAAAUGGCACCCUAUGUAAAUCUCCUUCGACGAGUCGAGUUGUUUGGGAAUGCAGCUCUAAAUGGGAGGUAAAUUUCUUCUAAAGCUAAAUAUUGGCGAGAGACCGAUAGCGCACAAGUAGAGUGAUCGAAAGAUGAAAAGCACUUUGGAAAGAGAGUUAAAAAGCACGUGAAAUUGUUGAAAGGGAAGCGCUUGCAAUCAGACUUGUUUAAACUGUUCGGCCGGUCUUCUGACCGGUUUACUCAGUUUGGACAGGCCAGCAUCAGUUUCGGCGGCCGGAUAAAGGCUCUGGGAAUGUGGCCUCCACUUCGGUGGAGGUGUUAUAGCCCAGGGUGUAAUACGGCCAGCCGGGACUGAGGUCCGCGCUUCGGCUAGGAUGCUGGCGUAAUGGUUGUAAGCGACCCGUCUUGAAC
Molecule: ribosomal RNA, 598 nt
Filed under: Aureobasidium pullulans
Lineage: Eukaryota; Fungi; Ascomycota; Dothideomycetes; Dothideales; Saccotheciaceae
Description: eukaryotic LSU rRNA
Rfam family: Eukaryotic large subunit ribosomal RNA
Source: RNAcentral